This 570-nucleotide ribosomal RNA is filed under the name Hyphodontia sp. 2 KUC20121109-15. Its description in RNAcentral is "eukaryotic LSU rRNA". It matches the Rfam family "Eukaryotic large subunit ribosomal RNA", at positions 66 to 636 of the family's 3401-position model. The record is from RNAcentral. Lineage: Eukaryota; Fungi; Basidiomycota; Agaricomycetes; Hymenochaetales; Schizoporaceae.
UAACAAGGAUUCCCCUAGUAACUGCGAGUGAAGCGGGAUGAGCUCAAAUUUAAAAUCUAGUGGCUUUCAGUCGCUCGAGUUGUAAUCUGGAGAAGUGUUUUCCGCGUCGGACCGUGUACAAGUCUCUUGGAAUAGAGCUUCAUAGAGGGUGAGAGUCCCGUCCAUGACACGGAUUACCGGUGCUUUUGUGAUACACUCUCGAAGAGUCGAGUUGUUUGGGAAUGCAGCUCAAAAUGGGUGGUAAAUUCCAUCUAAAGCUAAAUAUUGGCGAGAGACCGAUAGCGAACAAGUACCGUGAGGGAAAGAUGAAAAGCACUUUGGAAAGAGAGUUAAACAGUACGUGAAAUUGUUGAAAGGGAAACGCUUGAAGUCAGUCGCGUCGUCCGGGACUCAGCCUUGCUCUUUUGCUUGGUGUACUUCCUGGUUUGACGGGUCAACAUCGAUUUUGGAUGGCGGAUAAAGGCGGAGGGAAUGUGGCACCUUUCGGGGUGUGUUAUAGCCCUUCGUUCGUAUACGCUGACUGGGAUCGAGGACUGCAGCACGCCUUUAUGGCCGGGGGUUCGCCUCACG